RNAcentral lists this transfer RNA (56 nucleotides) under Bos taurus (domestic cattle). It matches the Rfam family "tRNA", at positions 9 to 63 of the family's 71-position model. Rfam says of the family: Transfer RNA (tRNA) molecules are approximately 80 nucleotides in length. Their secondary structure includes four short double-helical elements and three loops (D, anti-codon, and T loops). Lineage: Eukaryota; Metazoa; Chordata; Mammalia; Artiodactyla; Bovidae. RNAcentral also lists the same sequence under 4 other names. The record is from Rfam by way of RNAcentral.
GGCUCAGACGGUAAAGCGUCUGCCUGCAAUGCAGGAGACCCGGGUUCAAUUCCUGG